GGCGGCGUGCUUAACACAUGCAAGUCGAACGGAAACGCCCAGCUUGCUGGGUACUCGAGUGGCGAACGGGUGAGUAACACGUGGGUGAUCUGCCCCAAACUUCGGGAUAAGCCUGGGAAACUGGGUCUAAUACCGGAUAUGACCUGCUCCUGCAUGGGGGUUGGUGGAAAGCUUUUGCGGUUUGGGAUGGGCCCGCGGCCUAUCAGCUUGUUGGUGGGGUAAUGGCCUACCAAGGCGACGACGGGUAGCCGACCUGAGAGGGUGAUCGGCCACACUGGGACUGAGACACGGCCCAGACUCCUACGGGAGGCAGCAGUGGGGAAUAUUGCACAAUGGGCGCAAGCCUGAUGCAGCGACGCCGCGUGAGGGAUGACGGCCUUCGGGUUGUAAACCUCUUUCGCCAGGGACGAAGCGCAAGUGACGGUACCUGGAGAAGAAGCACCGGCCAACUACGUG
Molecule: ribosomal RNA, 456 nt
Filed under: uncultured bacterium
Lineage: Bacteria
Description: bacterial SSU rRNA
Rfam family: Bacterial small subunit ribosomal RNA
Source: RNAcentral